AACGAACGCUGGCGGCAUGCCUAACACAUGCAAGUCGAACGAGACCUUCGGGUCUAGUGGCGCACGGGUGCGUAACGCGUGGGAACCUGCCCUUAGGUUCGGAAUAACUCCCCGAAAGGGGUGCUAAUACCGGAUAAUGUCUUCGGACCAAAGAUUUAUCGCCCUUGGAUGGGCCCGCGUUGGAUUAGCUAGUUGGUAGGGUAAAAGCCUACCAAGGCGACGAUCCAUAGCUGGUCUGAGAGGAUGAUCAGCCACACUGGGACUGAGACACGGCCCAGACUCCUACGGGAGGCAGCAGUGGGGAAUAUUGGACAAUGGGCGAAAGCCUGAUCCAGCAAUGCCGCGUGAGUGAUGAAGGCCUUAGGGUUGUAAAGCUCUUUUACCCGCGAUGAUAAUGACAGUACCGGGAGAAUAAGCUCCGGCUAACUCCGUG
This 433-nucleotide ribosomal RNA is filed under the name uncultured bacterium. RNAcentral's name for it is "partial 16S ribosomal RNA". It matches the Rfam family "Bacterial small subunit ribosomal RNA", at positions 29 to 507 of the family's 1533-position model. The record is from RNAcentral.